Molecule: ribosomal RNA, 447 nt
Filed under: uncultured bacterium
Lineage: Bacteria
Description: bacterial SSU rRNA
Rfam family: Bacterial small subunit ribosomal RNA
Source: RNAcentral
UCGGGAAUUUUGGGCAAUGGGGGAAACCCUGACCCAGCAACGCCGCGUGAAGGAUGAAGUAUUUCGGUAUGUAAACUUCGAAAGAAUAGGAAGAAUAAAUGACGGUACUAUUUAUAAGGUCCGGCUAACUACGUGCCAGCAGCCGCGGUAAUACGUAGGGACCAAGCGUUGUUCGGAUUUACUGGGCGUAAAGGGCGCGUAGGCGGCAAUUCAAGUCAUCUGUGAAAUCUCCGGGCUUAACUCGGAACGGUCAGAUGAUACUGCUUUGCUAGAGUGCAGAAGGGGCAAUCGGAAUUCUUGGUGUAGCGGUGAAAUGCGUAGAUAUCAAGAGGAACACCUGAGGUGAAGACGGGUUGCUGGGCUGACACUGACGCUGAGGCGCGAAAGCCAGGGGAGCAAACGGGAUUAGAUACCCGUGUAGUCCCUGAGCGGGCUGGCAAGGCGCAU